Acanthosepion pharaonis is the source of this 106-nucleotide non-coding RNA. The record is from the annotation of a GenBank genome assembly. NCBI's taxonomy places the organism in Eukaryota, Metazoa, Mollusca, Cephalopoda, Sepiida, Sepiidae.
CAGCUAUAUCAUGUUGAAACACCAGUUCUCAUACGAUCACUGAAGUUAAGCAAUGCCUGGUCAGUAGCUAGAUGGGUGACCACUUGGGAAUACUAGGUGUUGUAUG